RNAcentral lists this transfer RNA (65 nucleotides) under Pharnaciini sp. NS-2020. RNAcentral describes it as "tRNA-Ala". It matches the Rfam family "tRNA". Rfam says of the family: Transfer RNA (tRNA) molecules are approximately 80 nucleotides in length. Lineage: Eukaryota; Metazoa; Arthropoda; Insecta; Phasmatodea; Phasmatidae. The record is from RNAcentral.
GGGAUUAUAGUUAAAAAUAACAUUUGAUUUGCACUCAAAAAGUAUUGAUAAAUCAAUUAUUCUCA